AGCAUGCCGCGGUGAAUACGUUCCCGGGCCUUGUACACACCGCCCGUCACACCAUGGGAGUUUGUAACACCCGAAGUCAGUAUCCUAACCGCAAGGGGGGAGCUGCCGAAGGUGGGAUAAGCGACUGGGGUGAAGUCGUAACAAGGUACC
RNAcentral lists this ribosomal RNA (150 nucleotides) under uncultured bacterium. Its description in RNAcentral is "partial 16S ribosomal RNA". It matches the Rfam family "Bacterial small subunit ribosomal RNA", at positions 1351 to 1500 of the family's 1533-position model. The record is from RNAcentral.